GGGGAAAUUGCCCGGUAGAGGGGCCUUUCCAUUGGAAACGAUGGAUAAUACCGCAUAAUCCCUCAUGACCAAAGAGGGGGACCUUCGGGCCUUGCGCUACCGGAUAUGCCCAGGUGGGAUUAGCUAGGUGGUGAGGUAAGGGCUCACCAAGGCGACAAUCCCUAUCUGGUCUGAGAGGAUGAUCAGCCACACUGGAACUGAGACACGGUCCAGACUCCUACGGGAGGCAGCAGUGGGGAAUAUUGCACAAUGGGCGCAAGCCUGAUGCAGCCAUGCCGCGUGUAUGAAGAAGGCCUUCCGGUUGUAAAGCACUUUCAGUAGGGAGGAAGGUGGUAGCGUUAAUACCUUUGUCAUUUGACGUUACCUACAGAAGAAGCACCGGAUAACUCCGUGCCCAGCAGCUGCGGUAAUACUGAGGGUGCAAGCGUUAAUCGGAGUUACUGGGCGUAAAGCGCAUCGCAGCGUGGUUUGUUA
This 474-nucleotide ribosomal RNA is filed under the name uncultured bacterium. RNAcentral's name for it is "bacterial SSU rRNA". It matches the Rfam family "Bacterial small subunit ribosomal RNA", at positions 119 to 586 of the family's 1533-position model. The record is from RNAcentral.